UUUCCCUCAGGAUAGCUGGCACUCGCUUGAGCGAGUCUCAUCUGGUAAAGCGAAUGAUUAGAGGCCUUGGGGCCGAAACGACCUCAACCUAUUCUCAAACUUUAAAUGGGUGAGAUCUCUGGCUUGCUUGAACGUUGAAGCCAUGAGAAAUUUGAUUAAGGAUCAGAGUGCCAAGUGGGCCAAUUUUGGUAAGCAGAACUGGCGCUGUGGGA
This 212-nucleotide ribosomal RNA is filed under the name Encarsia sp. D2672. Its description in RNAcentral is "Dirphys sp. D2672 partial 28S ribosomal RNA". It matches the Rfam family "Eukaryotic large subunit ribosomal RNA", at positions 967 to 1163 of the family's 3401-position model. The record is from RNAcentral. Lineage: Eukaryota; Metazoa; Arthropoda; Insecta; Hymenoptera; Aphelinidae.